GGUGACCUGAUAUCGACGGCCGCAGCCGGUGACAUUGGAAGCAACACAGAGGAGGAGUUUUAGUUUUUUGUGAAAUCAAGGUUUUGUUUGGAUUGUGAGGUGUUUGGUGUUCAGGCUUUGCUUCGUUUUGAAGGAAGCGAGAGAGAGAGAGUGGGGUUUCUGGUCUGUAAAUUGUACCGCUUGUUGUUAUUCGUUGAAUUUAGAAGUCUUGCGUUCACACGAG
RNAcentral lists this long non-coding RNA (223 nucleotides) under Populus trichocarpa (black cottonwood). RNAcentral describes it as "long non-coding RNA (PTRI_LNC004757)". Lineage: Eukaryota; Viridiplantae; Streptophyta; Magnoliopsida; Malpighiales; Salicaceae. The record is from RNAcentral.